Molecule: ribosomal RNA, 492 nt
Filed under: uncultured bacterium
Lineage: Bacteria
Description: partial 16S ribosomal RNA
Rfam family: Bacterial small subunit ribosomal RNA
Source: RNAcentral
GGGGGGGGGGGGGGGGGGGGGGGGGGGGGGGAGGGGGGGGGGCGGGGCGGUGGGGGCGGGCGCGGGGGGGGGGGGGGGGGCGGGCGGGGGGGGGAGACGUGGGAGUCUACUUGUUGGGGGGGGAGAAGGUAGGGAGACUUACGAUGAUACCGGCUACUAGCAAGGGUGGAAAGCAGGGGCAGUGUGGAGCUGGGGCGAUUGAAUCAGCCGAUGUCGGAUAGGCUAGUUGGCGAGGUACAGGCCCACGAAGGCGACGAUCCGUAGCUGGUCUGAGAGGAUGAUCAGCCACACUGGAACUGAGACACGGUCCAGACUCCUACGGUAGGCAGCAGUGGGGAAUAUUGGACAAUGGGCGCAAGCCUGAUCCAGCCAUACCGCGUGGGUGAAGAAGGCCUUCGGGUUUUAAAGCCCUUUUGUUGGGAAAGAAAAGCAGCAGGUGAAUACCCCGCUGUUCUGACGGUACCCAAAGAAUAAGCACCGGCUAACUUCGUG